Thunnus maccoyii (southern bluefin tuna) is the source of this 1129-nucleotide long non-coding RNA. RefSeq lists it as uncharacterized. Lineage: Eukaryota; Metazoa; Chordata; Actinopteri; Scombriformes; Scombridae. The transcript is spliced from 3 exons. The record is from RefSeq and is a predicted model, not a curated record.
UAAUAUGAUGAAUUUUUUUUCGUAGUCACUCAAUAUCCCCACAGGGAACACUACACUUACUUACUCAUGUCUUAUUCUCUCACCUGCACUCUUUUCUGCACCAGAAGAAAUGAACCUUAACCUCCUCCAUAUCAUUAUCCCCCAAAGUCUAAUUGUGACCACUCUCACACACAUAUUAUUAUCCCAUAUCCGCUUGAGCUUGUGCAUUUGUUAGUGAAUUACAUUUUUACACAGAUAUAAAUAAUAUAGGGUCAUUUUGAAAAAAAAAAAAGUGUCUUGUAAUGUCUUAAGAUAUCCCUGUGUGGGUGUGAGUGUGUAUCUACAGUAUGUGUGUGAUGGUUAUUGUUGGCUGUGUGCAUGUGUAGAUAUUAAUAAAUUUGACUUUAUUAUGCUCCUGACAGGCUGUGAUUACAUGUUUUUGUCCCUUUUGUUGUCAAUGACGGUGGAUGUUCUUGUUUCCACUGCAGGGGAUGAUGGGAAAAUAAAACAGGUCCGUAAACACUUCCUCCCGUUAUCUCUCCUUGCCUCCCACCCUCCCACUCUCCACCCUCCCUUCGUCUCUGUAGUGAGCCAUGCGGAGGCCGUGUCAUUUAUGGCCUUAAUGAUAUAGAGAUCUAUUUAACACUUUCUCCCCUCAUGUCUUUGUUCUUUGCCUGAGACUUCAGCAGCAGUCAGCGUUUGUUGCAGAUGUGUGAUCACUCAAAUUCAGCCUUUAAAAAUCUGAACAGAGCUCUGCCUUUAUCCGGAGGUGAACUCAAGGAAAUCAAAGCCAGAAAAGCCCCGUUGAGGCAGGUGGUGAUUCAAUAUCUUGCUCAAGGACACUUCAGCAGGGCAGGUGUUUGCUGACACAGAGCAAGGCCUGACAGACCUCCAUCACCACACAAAGUGAGAGGACAUGCGUUAAGUAGCAGCUGAGAGAGAGAUGAAUGCGUCUGAAGAAAAUGGUGCCCAUUUGAACUGAUGGAACUCCAGCAAUCACUGGGAGACAGAUGGGACUUGCUCAGCUCUUAAACCAGCACCAUCCUCACUGAUUUGAUACCACUGCAUGAUUCACCAAAUUGUUCUGUGAGAUAUUUAGAUGUCAAAAGACUUGUGAACUGUCUUGGAGUGAACUGUCCAUAAAAUUGUG